AUACGUAGGUGGCGAGCGUUGUCCGGAUUUACUGGGCGUAAAGAGUGCGUAGGCGGAUGUUUAAGUGAGAUGUGAAAUACCCGAGCUCAACUUGGGUGCUGCAUUUCAAACUGGGCAUCUAGAGUGCAGGAGAGGAAAGCGGAAUUCCUAGUGUAGCGGUGAAAUGCGUAGAGAUUAGGAAGAACACCAGUGGCGAAGGCGGCUUUCUGGACUGUAACUGACGCUGAGGCACGAAGGCGUGGGGAGCAAACAGGAUUAGAUACCCUGGUAGUCCACGCCGUAAACGAUGGGUACUAGGUGUCGGGGGUCCAACCUCGGUGCCGCAGUAAACACAUUAAGUACCCCGCCUGGGGAGUACGGUCGCAAGAUUAAAACUCAAAUGAAUUGACGGGG
RNAcentral lists this ribosomal RNA (393 nucleotides) under uncultured bacterium. RNAcentral's name for it is "partial 16S ribosomal RNA". It matches the Rfam family "Bacterial small subunit ribosomal RNA", at positions 523 to 918 of the family's 1533-position model. The record is from RNAcentral.